AGCAGCCGCGGUAAUUCCAGCUCCAAUAGCGUAUAUUAAAGUUGUUGCAGUUAAAAAGCUCGUAGUUGAAUUUCGGGGUUAGUAGGUCGGUCAUGCCUCAGGUAUGUACUGGUCUCACUGAUUCCUCCUUCCUGAUGAGCCGUAAUGCCAUUAAUUUGGUGUUGCGGGGAAUCUGGACUGUUACUUUGAAAAAAUUAGAGUGUUUAAAGCAGGCUAACGCUUGAAUACAUUAGCAUGGAAUAAUGGAAUAGGACGUUCGAUCCUAUUUUGUUGGUUUCUAGGAUUGACGUAAUGAUUAAUAGGGAUAGUUGGGGGCAUUAGUAUUCAAUUGUCAGAGGUGAAAUUCUUGGAUUUAUUGAAGACUAACUACUGCGAAAGCAUUUGCCAAGGAUGUUUUCAUUAAUCAAGAACGAAAGUUAGGGGAUCGAAGACGAUCAGAUACCGUCGUAGUCUUAACCAUAAACUAUGCCGACUAGGGAUCGGAUGAUGUUAAUUUUUUAAUGACUCAUUCGGCGCCUUACG
RNAcentral lists this ribosomal RNA (522 nucleotides) under uncultured Glomus. RNAcentral describes it as "SSU rRNA". It matches the Rfam family "Eukaryotic small subunit ribosomal RNA", at positions 569 to 1092 of the family's 1831-position model. The record is from RNAcentral. Lineage: Eukaryota; Fungi; Glomeromycota; Glomeromycetes; Glomerales; Glomeraceae.